Molecule: ribosomal RNA, 253 nt
Filed under: uncultured bacterium
Lineage: Bacteria
Description: partial 16S ribosomal RNA
Rfam family: Bacterial small subunit ribosomal RNA
Source: RNAcentral
UACGAAGGGUGCAAACGUUGCUCGGAAUUAUUGGGCGUAAAGCGCACGUAGGCGGCUUGGCAAGUCGGAUGUGAAAUCCCUCGGCUCAACCAAGGAAGUGCAUCCGAAACUGCUAAGCUUGAGUACUUAAGAGGAUCGCGGAAUUCCCGGUGUAGAGGUGAAAUUCGUAGAUAUCGGGAGGAACACCAGUGGCGAAGGCGGCGAUCUGGGAAGAUACUGACGCUGAGGUGCGAAAGCGUGGGGAGCAAACAGG